Long non-coding RNA from Oncorhynchus nerka (sockeye salmon), 646 nucleotides. RefSeq lists it as uncharacterized. The transcript is spliced from 3 exons. The record is from RefSeq and is a predicted model, not a curated record. NCBI's taxonomy places the organism in Eukaryota, Metazoa, Chordata, Actinopteri, Salmoniformes, Salmonidae.
UGAAAGAUUGACGUUUUAGGCCAUGUUAAUGUGCAUUAGCUAAUCGCAGUGUUUAAAACACAUUUCAGUUGACGUUAACUUGAACCUGAUGUGCUUGUUCAAUUUGCAAAUUUGUUAAAGAUUGAUACUGAGCCAAGCACUAGGCUAUUCGCUAAUGCUAACUAGCUAGCUAACAUCCCUGACCAUGAGCUCAUUAAACUACUCAUCCCCUGCUAAAGAAGUGGAUGUCUGCUGUCCGGAGAAAGAAGCUCUGGCGCUGAACAUUGUCGUGAAAGACGAAGAGGAGGAUAUUACAGUGAAAGGAGAGAAAGAACCUUUCAGAAUGAAAAAGGAGGAAGAGGAGGCUGUUAUAGGGAAAGAAGAGAAAGCAUACUCUUCCUCUCUAAAAGGUUCUAUCUCAGUAAAGGUGAAGGAGGAAGACGUUUUGGGAGUGAAAGAGGAGGAGACAGAAUAUCAGAUUAACACCAGAGAGAGACAUGACUAUCGUGGAUCCUCUGGGGAGACUCAACAUCCUGAUGCUGACGAGGCAGAGAAGAGUCUCUCCAUAUCAGAACACCAGAUGGACAACGCUAGCCCUUCCUCCCUCCCGGAGUCCCCGUGUCAUGCCUCUCCCGGUAGCACCUUACUGCUGGGUAUGAAGAGGUUG